UGAAACGGUUUCUGGGUGGCAGAAGGC
Molecule: non-coding RNA, 27 nt
Filed under: Rattus norvegicus (Norway rat)
Lineage: Eukaryota; Metazoa; Chordata; Mammalia; Rodentia; Muridae
Source: RNAcentral